This 469-nucleotide ribosomal RNA is filed under the name uncultured soil bacterium. Its description in RNAcentral is "bacterial SSU rRNA". It matches the Rfam family "Bacterial small subunit ribosomal RNA", at positions 26 to 522 of the family's 1533-position model. The record is from RNAcentral.
AGAACGAACGCUGGCGGCAGGCUUAACACAUGCAAGUCGAACGGUUGUAGCAAUACAGCAGUGGCAGACGGGUGAGUAACACGUGGGAACCUUCCUAGGGGUACGGAACAACUCAGGGAAACUUGAGCUAAUACCGUAUACGUCCGUAAGGAGAAAGAUUCAUCGCCCCUAGACGGGCCCGCGUAGGAUUAGGUAGUUGGUGAGGUAACGGCUCACCAAGCCUACGAUCCUUAGCUGAUCUGAGAGGAUGAUCAGCCACACUGGGACUGAGACACGGCCCAGACUCCUACGGGAGGCAGCAGGUGGGGAAUCGUUGGACAAGUGGGGCGCGAAGCCUGAUCCAGCCAUGCCGCGUGAGUGAAGAAGGUCCUUCGGGUUGUAAGUCUCUUUACCGAGGGACGAUAAGUGACGGUACCGUGGAAGAAGUAACGCCCCGGACAAAACCGUUCGACCGCCAAGCGACGCCGUC